This 285-nucleotide unclassified non-coding RNA is filed under the name plant metagenome. RNAcentral's name for it is "partial contains small subunit ribosomal RNA, internal transcribed spacer 1, and 5.8S ribosomal RNA". The stretch from base 1 to 54 matches the Rfam family "Eukaryotic small subunit ribosomal RNA", at positions 1778 to 1831 of the family's 1831-position model. The record is from RNAcentral.
GGAUGUAAAAGUCGUAACAAGGUUUCCGUAGGUGAACCUGCGGAAGGAUCAUUAUUGUAUAACCGAGGUGCGAGGGCUGUCGCUGACCCGAAAGGUCGUGCACGCCCGAGUGCCCUCACACACAUCCAUCUCACCCCUAUGUGCACCACCGCGUGGGUCCCCCUUUGGCUUGUUCGGAGGGGGGCUUACGUUUUCACACAAACUUUGUAUGCAGUGUAGAAUGUAUUUUUUGUUUUUGCGAUCACACAAUCAAUACAACUUUCAACAACGGAUCUCUUGGCUCUC